GACGAACGCUGGCGGCGUGCCUAAUACAUGCAAGUAGAACGCUGAAGAGAGGAGCUUGCUCUUCUUGGAUGAGUUGCGAACGGGUGAGUAACGCGUAGGUAACCUGCCUUGUAGCGGGGGAUAACUAUUGGAAACGAUAGCUAAUACCGCAUAACAAUGGAUGACACAUGUCAUUUAUUUGAAAGUGGCAAUUGCUCCACUACAAGAUGGACCUGCGUUGUAUUAGCUAGUAGGUGAGGUACUGGCUCACCUAGGCGACGAUACAUAGCCGACCUGAGAGGGUGAUCGGCCACACUGAGACGGAGACACGGCCCAGACUCCUACAGGAGGCAGCCGUAGGGAAUCUUCGGCAAUGGGGGCAACACUGACCGAGCAACGCCGAAUGAGUGAAGAAGGUUGUCGGAUCGUAAAGCUCGGUUGUAAGUCAAGAAAGGGUGUGAGAGUGGAAAGUUCACACUGUGACGGUAGCUUACCAGAAAGGGACGGCUAACUACGUG
RNAcentral lists this ribosomal RNA (497 nucleotides) under uncultured bacterium. RNAcentral's name for it is "partial 16S ribosomal RNA". It matches the Rfam family "Bacterial small subunit ribosomal RNA", at positions 28 to 507 of the family's 1533-position model. The record is from RNAcentral.